UGAGGCGGGCCGACCCCGGCGGGCCACCAUCUUGCGGGCGGAACGGCUACUGCGGUCUGGGCAGCGCCUCCCCUGCGGUGUACAGAGGUGUUGGGCUCGUUCCCUUUGUCCCUUCUCCGCUGGCGUGUAUCAGCGCAUCGCCAGACGCUUGUCCCGGCAGCCCGGCCGCAUUCGUGCCCGGCAAAGCCACUUGAGAGAGCAGCAGAAAGGAGAGCCGUCUCACGGGCGCGUACGGCAGCUUCACGCCUGCGGGGUGACGGCAGCGCAUGAGGUGGCAGAAAGCAGGCUGCCCAGGGAGCUGCUCUGGGGCAAUUUGCAGUUAGAAACCAUUGCAAUUUUCAGUUCCAGGAUUUUCUGACAGCUUCUAUUACUGUAUGGCCCUGCGUGGGACAGAACAGUGUGGCAGGAACAAUGCCAGCUGUUAGAAACCAAGCACAGUCUGUGGGCCUGGCCUAGCCAUCUACAUUAACUUUGGAUCCCGUUUCUGAUCCAGCCAUCCUGGAAGGACUUUGUUAUGGGGUGUGGUAGCAUGGAGUUCACGUCGCGCACAUUCGAUUAGGAUAGAACCAUGAGAAGGUGCCACAGCUACGCCGCCGAUGUCAUCAUCC
Molecule: non-coding RNA, 608 nt
Organism: Meleagris gallopavo (turkey)
Lineage: Eukaryota; Metazoa; Chordata; Aves; Galliformes; Phasianidae
Source: RefSeq, a predicted model, not a curated record